This 200-nucleotide unclassified non-coding RNA is filed under the name soil metagenome. RNAcentral describes it as "partial contains internal transcribed spacer 2 and large subunit ribosomal RNA". The record is from RNAcentral.
UUCGAGCGUCAUUACAACCCUCAAGCUCUGCUUGGUAUUGGGCUACACCCGACUGGGUGGGCCUUAAAAUCAGUGGCGGUGCAUCUGGCUCUAAGCGUAGUAAUUCUUCUCGCUCUGGAGAUCUAGGUGUUUGCUUGCCAGCAACCCCCAAUUUAUCAAAGGUUGACCUCGGAUCAGGUAGGGAUACCCGCUGAACUUAA